GGGGAGGCACGGUUAGCGGGAGAGGAGGGGAGGAGCCGGCGGGCGGCGCGGCGCGAGGGGCAGCCGGGUGGGCGUGGGGACUCGGCGGAGACCGGCUGCAGGCAGGGUCCCGGGCUGGAGUCGGAGAGGAGCGCGGUGGGCGCAGACGUGACGAGGGUGCGAAUAGCCGGGCGGCAGGGCGGCCCCGGAAAGCGGGGAGAGACCCUCGCCCCGCCAGGUGGAGCCGGAGCGAGCGCGGCGCGGGCGGAAGGGAGGAUGGCGAGCCGGGACCCGGGCGCCGGGGAGCGGUGCUCGCUGAGGCGGCUCCGCCGGAUCCGAGGGGAGAGCAGCCAGGCGGAGAGACGGGGCCGGGCGGCCAGCCGCGGGCCCGGGAUGUGAGGCAGGGGAUGCGGGGUGCGGGGCUGGGCGCGGGGCCGGGCCAGCCUGCGCCGGGGACGGAGCUGCAGGAGGCCGCAGGGCCAGCGCGCCGCCGCCGCAGCCGAGGACCCAGGGUAGGGGUGGACGAGCAGGAGCCAUGGUAAUAAAGAAGAGGAAACCUGACCAAUUAUUGUGGAGUAAUUUGGAAGAAGAUGGAAAAAACCUGUUUGAUGGGUAAGAAAUAAAAGAAAAUCUUCUUUGUAAAAACUACUCAUUAAGAGUAUUACGUAUG
RNAcentral lists this long non-coding RNA (649 nucleotides) under Chinchilla lanigera (long-tailed chinchilla). RNAcentral's name for it is "lncRNA (ENSCLAG00000029097.1)". The record is from RNAcentral. Lineage: Eukaryota; Metazoa; Chordata; Mammalia; Rodentia; Chinchillidae.